Acanthosepion pharaonis is the source of this 108-nucleotide non-coding RNA. NCBI's taxonomy places the organism in Eukaryota, Metazoa, Mollusca, Cephalopoda, Sepiida, Sepiidae. The record is from the annotation of a GenBank genome assembly.
UACGGCCAUAUCAUGGUGAAACACAGGUUCUCGUACAAUUACCGACGUUAAGCAAGGUCGAUCCUGGUCAGUACCUGGAUGGGUAACUACUUGAGAAUAACAGGUGUU